UGGGGAAUUUUGGACAAUGGGGGAAACCCUGAUCCAGCCAUCCCGCGUGUGCGAUGAAGGCCUUCGGGUUGUAAAGCACUUUUGGCAGGAAAGAAACGUCAUGGGUUAAUACCCCGUGAAACUGACGGUACCUGCAGAAUAAGCACCGGCUAACUACGUGCCAGCAGCCGCGGUAAUACGUAGGGUGCAAGCGUUAAUCGGAAUUACUGGGCGUAAAGCGUGCGCAGGCGGUUCGGAAAGAAAGAUGUGAAAUCCCAGAGCUCAACUUUGGAACUGCAUUUUUAACUACCAGGCUAGAGUGUGUCAGAGGGAGGUGGAAUUCCGCGUGUAGCAGGGAAAUGCGUAGAUAUGCGGAGGAACACCGAUGGCGAAGGCAGCCUCCUGGAAUAACACUGACGCUCAUGCACGAAAGCGUGGGGAGCAAACAGG
This 429-nucleotide ribosomal RNA is filed under the name Acidobacteriota bacterium. RNAcentral describes it as "Acidobacteria bacterium partial 16S ribosomal RNA". It matches the Rfam family "Bacterial small subunit ribosomal RNA", at positions 355 to 776 of the family's 1533-position model. The record is from RNAcentral. Lineage: Bacteria; Pseudomonadati; Acidobacteriota.